AUACGGAGGAUGCAAGCGUUAUCCGGAUUUAUUGGGUUUAAAGGGUGCGCAGGCGGGCUGUUAAGUCAGCGGUGAAAUGUCCCGGCUCAACCGGGGCACUGCCGUUGAUACUGGCAGCCUAGAGUACAGACGGCGCCGGCGGAAUGUGUCAUGUAGCGGUGAAAUGCUUAGAUAUGCCACAGAACACCGAUCGCGAAGGCAGCUGGCGAGGCUGGAACUGACGCUCAGGCACGAAAGCGUGGGGAUCAAACAGGAUUAGAUACCCUGGUAGUCCACGCAGUAAACGAUGAUAACUUGUUGUCGGCGAUAGACAGUCGGUGACAAAGCGAAAGCGAUAAGUUAUCCACCUGGGGAGUACGAUCGCAAGGUUGAAACUCAAAUGAAUUGGCGGGG
Molecule: ribosomal RNA, 393 nt
Filed under: uncultured bacterium
Lineage: Bacteria
Description: partial 16S ribosomal RNA
Rfam family: Bacterial small subunit ribosomal RNA
Source: RNAcentral